Molecule: ribosomal RNA, 414 nt
Filed under: uncultured bacterium
Lineage: Bacteria
Description: bacterial SSU rRNA
Rfam family: Bacterial small subunit ribosomal RNA
Source: RNAcentral
UCGAGGAUCUUCGGCAAUGAGCGCAAGCUUGACCGAGCGACGCCGCGUGAGCGAUGAAGGCCUUCGGGUUGUAAAGCUCUUUAGUGGGGGAGAAAAGCCCGCAAGGGUGUGAUCUAUCCCAAAAAUAAGCACGGGCUAAGUUCGUGCCAGCAGCCGCGGUAAGACGAACCGUGCGAACGUUGUUCGGAAUCACUGGGCUUAAAGGGCGCGUAGGCGGGCUGUCAAGUCUGGGGUGAAAUGCCGCGGCUCAACCGUGGAACUGCCUCAGAUACUGACGGCCUCGAGGAAGGUAGGGGCAUGCGGAACUGUAGGUGGAGCGGUGAAAUGCGUUGAUAUCUACAGGAACUCCGGUGGCGAAAGCGGCGUGCUGGACCUUUUCUGACGCUGAGGCGCGAAAGCUAGGGGAGCAAACGG